CCCAACCCCAGCCCCAGCUCCCAGCUCCCCCAGCCCUGCUUCUAUCUAAAGCAAUUUGCAUUGGUUCAGUGCUAAAAAUAAGUUGGCCAUUGCUCAUCCAUUAGACUAGGUUACCCUAUCUGCCUCUAGCCUUGCUGGUCUUCAGUGCUGACUACCUGAGUCAUCAUUUUCAAUUAAUGUACACAAUCCCGUUUGUCCACUGUCCCAUGAUAGAACAGACUCUGUGCACCAUUUGUGUUAAUGUUAGGAAAUGUUAAUUAAUCCAGAGUUUCAUAUCAGACAGUUAUUGUCCAUAAUUCUAGUUACUCAACAUCUCAAUCUACUGCCCUUAAGGAAGGAGAAAACAUUCCUUUGUCAUUGCUGCAGUAAUCACAGUCACAAUUUUCUGGGCAGUGCUCAUAUACUGUGCUGACCACCUAAACUCUUUGUACUGAGUGGAAUUCUCAUUGUUGAUAAUUCUGCCCAUUGGAUUAGAUCCCAGUCCAAAACCCUUUUACAUUCAGCAGGGGGCACAGGAAACCCAAGCCCUGUUCAACAGUAAACGGGCUCAGUCCCACUUGUCAUAACCUUGUCCAUUAAACAAAGGCACCCUACUUUUUUGCCUAGCUUCUGGGGAGUCCUGCUGUUCUUGGACAAUUAAAGUACCAAAUUGUUAUUGUACAUUGUCUUGCUCAUUAAUCAACAACCCUCCAUCCUCUUUGAAUUGCUACUAGGCAGUACUGGCUACCUGAGACCAUGUUCCUUGAAUUAUUGAGUAGAACCCUAGUUGUCCGUAUCCCUGUUCCUUAUACAAGUAACAGCUUCUUUGCACUAUAGUAGAGGUGCUCACCCUUAAAGCUCUUUACUUUGGAAUAUUAAUGGAUACAAUCAUUAUUGUUCAUGGACCUGCCUAACAGAUAAGACCCACCCAUGCUCUCUCCAUUGCUCCUGGGUAGUACUUAGCACCUUGCAUAGUAUGUAAAAUCCUCAUUGCUCAUGGUCCCACCCAUUAGUCUAGGAUAUUCCUUACCUCUGUGCCAUUACUUCGGAGGUGUUCUGAUUACCCAAGUUCCCUUCUCUUAAAGUUGAUGUGCAUAAUUGCAUAUAUUCAUGGUCCUGUGUAUUAAAAAAAUGGGAUCUCACUCCAUCCCACCCUCUGUGGGAUACUGCUAACAAGUGCAUAAUAUUAAAAAACUCAGCUCUUGGACAGUUAAUUUGCACAGUUGCAGUUGUCUAAAGUCUUGUCUAUUUGAAAGAGCCACUGUAUCCCAUUUGUAUGCUAUAAUGUGGGCCGAUCACUCAAGGACCCUUCUCUUUAAUUGAAAAUGUCCAUAAUUGCAUUUGUCCAUGUCCUGGGAAGAAGCCAUACCCACUCCCUUUGUACUCCAUCCAGGGGCCUUUACUACUCAAGAACUCUGCACUAGGACAGUUUAUACACAUAAUCCUAAUUGAUUAAAACUGAGCCUUUUGUAUCAGGAACCCUGCACAAUCUUUACUUUACAUCUGAAAGGUGCAAAUCACCUAAGGACCUUGUCCUGAAAUUGUUCAUGUGCAAAAUUGAUAUCCCCAAUAUCUCUUGUUAAAACAGGGUCCCAUCCCCACCUAACUCCUUUUGCAUUACUGUAGAGGGCACUUAGGACAGUUAAUGUGCUCCUUUACAGCUGUGGUCCCUUCUGUUAGUCUAGGAUCCCAUCCCCUUCACUUUGCAUUAUUGCAGAGGGUACCUGAGACUAUUAAUGUACUUAAUUGCAGGUAAAGUCCUUUCCCUUAGUCCAAGAUCCCAUCCACUACUACUCACUUUGCAUUACCAUAGGAUACAAGGGACUGCUAAUGGGCUUAAAUGCAGUUACAGUCCCUUAUGUUAGCCUAGGAUCUCAUCCCCACCUAACUCCAUUUGCAUUACUGCAGAGGGUACUUGGGACUGUUAAUGUGCUUCAUUUGCAGUUACAGUCCCUUUUGUUAGUCUAGGAUCCCAUCCUCACCUACUCCCUUUGCAUUACCACAGAGAGUACAUGGGACUGUUAAGUGCUUAAAUUCAGAUAUUGUCCUUUAUGGUAGUGCAUGGUUUCAUCUUUUUCCAACUCCCUUGGCAUUACCAGAGAGUACUGGGGACUGUUAGAGCUUAAGUGCAGAUACUAUCCCUCAUGUUAGUGUAGGGUUCCACCCACUCCAACUCCCUUUGCGUUACAGCAGAGGCUAUGUAGGACCUUUAAGGUGCUUAAUUGCAGAUGUGGUCCAUUCCGUUUGUCUAGGAUCCCAUCUCCUCCUAUCCCUUUGCAUUACUGCAGAGGACACUUGGGACUGUUAAUGGGCUGAUUGCAUCUGUGGUCCUUUCUGUUAGUCUAGGAUCCCGUGCCCUCCAACUCCCUUCGUAUUACACAGGAAAUACUUGGGACUGUUAAUGGGCUUAAUUGCACCUACAGUCCCUUUUGUUAGUAGGAUCCUAUGCCUUCCAACACCCUUUGCAUACAGAGAGGAUAUCUGGGACUGUUAAUGAGCAUAAUAGCAGCUACAGUCUGUUCUGUUCAUCUAGGAUCCCGUGGCCUCCAACUCCUUUUUGCCUUACAGGGUGGUACUUGGGACAGAAAGACAGAAACAUGCUUAAUUGCGUCUGUAGUCCCCUCUGUUAGUCUAGGAUUCCAUGCCCUCUAACUCCCUUUGCAUUACACAUGGGGUUCUUGGGACUGUUAAUAUGCUCAACUGCAGCUACAGUCCCUUCUGUUUGUCUAGGAUCUCAUGCUCUCUAACUCCUCUUGUAUUACUAGGUGGUAUUUGGGACAGAAAGGUGCUUAAUUGCAUCUGUGGUCCCUUCAGUAGUCUGGGAUCCCAUGCCCUCCAACUCCCUUUAUGUUACGGGGUACUUGGGACUGUAAAUGUGCUUAAUUGCACCCACACCCUUGUGUUAGACUAGGAUCUUAUGUCCUUCAAUUGCCUUUACAUAUAGCAGGAGGUACCUGGGACUCUUAAUGUGCUCAAUUGCAGCUAUAGUCUCGCUGUUAGUCUAACAACCCAUGUCCUCCAACUCCCUUGCCUUACUGGCUGGUAUUUGACACAAAGGUGCUUCACUGCAUCUGUGGUCCCUUUUGUUUGUUUGGAAUCCCAUGCCUUCCAAACCCUUGGCAUUACAUGCGGGGUACUUGGGACUGUUAGUAUGCUCAAUUGCACCUGCAGUCCUUUCUGUUUGUCUAGGAUCCCAUGCCCAGCAAAUCCUUUUGCAUUACGCAGGGCGUCCUUGGCAGUCUUAAAGUGCUCAGCUGUAGCUACAGCCCCUUCUGUGCUUCUAGUAUCUGAUGUCCUCCAACUCCCUUUGUAUUACACAGGGGACAUUUGGGACAGAAAGGUGCUUGCUUAAUUGCCUCUGUAGUCCCUUCUGUUAAUCUGGAAUCCCAUCCGCUCCAACUCCCUUUGCAUUACACAAAGGAAUACUAGGGACUCAUUCCCAAAUACCCUGUGGUGCCCUUCAACUCCCUUUGCAUUACACAAGAGGUACUUGGGACUGCAAAUGUGCUUAACUGCAGCUACAACCUUUUGUUAGUCUUGGAUCCCAUGCCCUCCCACUCCUUUUGCAUUACACAGAGGAUACUUAGGACUGUUAAAUUGCUCAAUUGUAGCUACAGUCCCUUCUGUGCUUCUAGUUUCUGAUGCCCUCCAACUCCCUUUGCGUUACACGGGAUAUUUGGGACAGAAAGGUGCUUAAUUGCAUCUGUGGUCCCUUCUGCUAGUCUGGGAUCUCAUUCUCUCCCACUCCCUUAGCAUUACACACGGGAGACUCGGGACUGUUAAUGUGCUGUACUGCAGUUACAGUCCCUUUUAUUGGUCUAGAAUCCUGUGCCCUCCAACUCCUUUGGCAUUACUGGUUGGUUUUUGUGACAGAAGGUGCUUAAUUGCAUCUGUGGUCCCUUCUGUUAGUAUGAGAGCCCAUGCCCUUGAACUCCCUUUACAUACACCUGAGGUACUUGGGAAUGUAAAUAGCCUAAUUGCAGCUACAGUCUUUGCUAUUUGUCUAGGAUCCCAUGCCCUCCAACUCCUUUUGCAUUACGUAAGGGAUACUUGGGGUUGUUAAAGUGCUCAACUGUAGCUACAGUCCUUUCUGUGCUUCUAGUGUCCAAUGCCCUCCACUCCCUUUGCAUUACAUAGGGGAUAUUUGGGACAGAAAGGUGCUUAAUUGCAUCUGUGGUCCCUUCUAUUAGUCUGGGAUCCCAUGCCCUCCACCUCCCUUGACAUUACACGCGAGGUACUUGGGACUGUAAAUGUGCUAAAAUGCAGCCACUCCCUUCUGUUAGUCUAGGAUCUCUCAUCCUCCAACUCCCUUUGCAUACAGCAGAGGGUACCUGGGACUCUUAAUGUGCUCAAUGGCAGCUACAGUCCCUUCUGUUAGUCUCAGAUCCCAUGCCCUCCAACUCCCUUUGCAUUACACACGGUGUUCUAGGGACUGUUAAUGGCCUAAUUACAGCUGCAGUCCCUUCUACUUGUCUAGGAUCCCAUACCCUCUAACUCCUUUUGUGUUACACAUGGGGUACUUGGGACUGUUAGUAGACUCAAUUGCACCUACAAUCCUUUCUGUUUGUGUAGGAUCCCAUGCCCUCCAACUACUUUUGCAUUAGACAGGGGGUACUUGGGACUCUUAAAGUGCGCAAUUGUAGCCUCAGUCCCUUCUGUGUUUCUAGUGUCUGAUGCCCUCCAGCUCCCUUUGCAUUACACAGGGGAUAUUUGGGACAUAAAGGUGUUUAACUGCAUCUGUGGUCCCUAUGUUAUUCUGGGGUCUUAUGCUUUCCAAUUCCCUUAGCGUUACACACAGGAUACUUGGGACUCUUAAUGUGCUCCAUUGCAGCUGCAGUCCCUUCUAUUAGUCUAGAAUCCUGUGCCCUCCAACAUUUUUGCAUUACCAGGUGGUAUUUGGGACAGAAAGGUGCUUAAUUGCAUCUGUGGUCCCUUCAGUAGUCUGGGAUCCCAUGCCCUCCAACUCCCUUUACAUUACACAAGAGGUACUUGGGACUGUAAAUGUGCUAAUUGCAGCUACACCCAUCCUUUGGUCUAGGAUCUCUCAUCCUCCAACUCCCUUUGCAUACAGCAGAGGGUACCUGGGACUCUUAAUGUGCUCAAUGGCAGCUACAGUUUCUUCUGUUAGUCUCAGAUCCCAUGCCCUCCAACUCCCUUUGCAUUACACACGGUGUACUAGGGACUGUUAAUUGUCUUAAUGGCAGCCACAGUCCCUUCUGUUUGUGUAGGAUCCCAUGCCCUCCAACUCCCUUUGUAUUACGCAAGGGAUAUUUGGGACAGAAAGGUGCUUGCUUAAUUGCAUCUGUGGUCCCAAAACAACAUAUUGGCCUGAGAUCCCAUGCCCUCCAACUCCCCUUGCAUUCCGCAUAGGUUAUUUGGGACUGUUAAUGGUCUUAAUGGCAGCCACAGUCCCUUCUGUUAGUCUGGGAUCCCAUGCCUCCAACUCCCUUUGCAUUUCCCUGUGGUAUUUGGGUCACAAAGGUGCUUAACUGCCUCUAGGAUCCCCUUCUGUUAUUCUGGGGUCCCAUGCCCUCCAACUUACUUUACAUUACACAAGAGGUACUUGGGACUGUAAAUGUGCUAAUUGCAGCCACACCCAUCCUCUGGUCUAGGAUCUCUGGUCCUCCAACUCCCUUUGCAUACAGCAGAGGGUACCUGGGACUCCUAAUGUGCUCAAUGGCAGCUACAGUCCCUUCUGUUAGUCUCAGAUCCCAUGCCCUCCAACUCCCUUUGCAUUACACACCGUGUACUAGGGACUGUUAAUUGUCUUAAUGGCAGCCACAGUCCCUUCUGUUUGUGUAGGAUCCCAUGCCCUCCAACUCCUUUUGCAUUACGCAGGGGGUCCUUGGGAGUCUUAAAGUGCUCCAUUGUAGCUGCAGUCCCUUCUGUGCUUCUAGUGUCCGAUGCCCUCCAACUCCCUUUGUAUUACACAGGGGAUAUUUGGGACAGAAAGGUGCUUGCUUAAUUGCAUCUGUGGUCCCAACAACAUAUUGGCCUGGGAUCCCAUGCCCUCCAACUCCACUUGCAUUCCGCAUAGGUUAUUUGGGACUGUUAAUGGUCUUAAUGGCAGCCACAGUCCCUUCUGUUAGUCUAGGAUCCCAUGCCCUCCAACUCCCUUUGCAUUUCCCUGUGGUAUUUGGGUCACAAAGGUGCUUAACUGCCUCUGGGAUGCCUUUCUGCUAGUCUGGGGUCCCAUGCCCUCCAAAUUACUUUACAUUACACAAGAGGUACUUGGGACUAUAAAUGUGCUAAUUGCAGCCACACCCAUCCUCUGGUCUAGGAUCUCUGGUCCUCCAACUCCCUUUGCAUACAGCAGAGGGUACCUGGGACUCCUAAUGUGCUCAAUGGCAGCUACAGUCCCUUCUGUUAGUCUCAGAUCCCAUGCCCUCCAACUCCCUUUGCAUUACACACCGUGUACUAGGGACUGUUAAUUGUCUUAAUGGCAGCCACAGUCCCUUCUGUUUGUGUAGGAUCCCAUGCCCUCCAACUCCUUUUGCAUUACGCAGGGGGUCCUUGGGAGUCUUAAAGUGCUCCAUUGUAGCUGCAGUCCCUUCUGUGCUUCUAGUGUCCGAUGCCCUCCAACUCCCUUUGUAUUACACAGGGGAUAUUUGGGACAGAAAGGUGCUUGCUUAAUUGCAUCGGUGGUCCCAAAACAACAUAUUAGCCUGGGAUCCCAUGCCCUCCAACUCCCUUUACACUACACAUGAGGUACUUGGGAGUGUUAACAUGGUUAAUUGCAGCCAGCAUCCCUUCUGUGUGUGUAGUUUCCUAUGCUCUCCUAUGCUGUUUGGAUUACAGCAGCAUGUACUUGGUACUGUUAAACUGCUUAAUUGGAGGUGUAGUCACUAUCGUGGGUUUAGGAUUCCCAUGACCUUCAGUCACUUUACAUUACCUGGGCAGUUUCUUGGAUUGUUAUGGUGCUUAAGUGCAGCUGCAGAUCCCUUCUGUUACUCGAGGAUUCUAUCCACUCCCUCUACAUUACUUGGGAGGGUUUUGGGUCUUUUAAAUAGCUCAAUUGCAGCUCCGGUCCCUUCUGCUAGUCUGGGAUCCCAUGCCCUCCAAUUCCCUUCUCAUUAUCACAGAUGGUACUUGGGCCUAUUAAUGGGCUGAAUUGCAGCUGUGGUACUUUCUGUUGGUCUGGGAUCCUACACGCUCCAACUCCCUUUGUGUUAUAGGUGAGCGUGCCUGGGAUUAUUAACCGGCUAGACUGCAGCUGUUGUCUCUUUUGUUUAGGACCUCACACCCUUCUACUCAGCAUUACAGCAGAGGGUAUUGGAACUGUUAAAUGUUCAAUUGUAGCUGUGGUCCCUUCUGUUUUCUAGGAUCCCAUGUCCUCCACCUACCUUUACAUCGCCUGGGAAUAUAUUUGGGAUGGUUAAAGUGCUCAAUUGCAGCUGUGGUCCCUUCUGCGUAUCUAGUUUCCCAUGACCUCCUACUGCCUUUACAUUACCUGGGAGUGCAUCUGGGACUGCUAAAGUGCUUAGCUGCAGUAUAGUCCCUUCUGUUAGUCUAGUUUCCCAUCCCCUCCCAUUCUUUGCAUUACAGCAGAGGAUACUUGGGACUGUUAAAGUGCUUAAUUGCAGCUGUGGUCCCUUUUGUACUCCAGGAUCCCAUGACCUCCCACUUCCUUUAUGUUACUAGGUGGGCAUUUGGGACUGUUAUGGUGCUUAAUUGCAUUUGUAGUCCUCCUGUUAGUCUAGGAUCCCAUUCCUUCCUACGCACUUUGCAUUACCACAGAGGGUACUUGGGACUGUUAAGGUUCAUCCCAUCCUCUCACUCCCUGUUAGUAUUACAGCAGAGGGUGCUGAACACCAAAGCUCUUCUUUUGCCCUGUUAAUGUGCAUAAUUGCAUUUGUCCCUCUUCCUCUGCAGUAAAGACCUCACUCAUUUCCCUUGUAUUCAGCAGCGGAUGCCCUUUCCUCAAGACCUUUGUACUAGGAUAAAGUGAACCAUGGUAAUUGAUUGACCAAAACUAUGCCUUUCAUUUAAGACCUCUGUACUCUCUGUUUUACAAGAAGGUGUACCUACUACCUCAGUUACUUUUUUGGGGGACUAUUUAUGUGCAAAAUUCCAAUGUUCAUGGGCCCCCCUGUUAAACUAAUAUCCCACCCUAUUACAUUAUAGCAGGGGAUGCUAGGGACCCAAAGUCCUUCUCUUGGGACUCUUAAUGUGCCUGUGCCCUCCUGAUAAGCUAAUAUCCUGACUUGUUAGUAUUAUAGCAGGAGGUACUGACCACCUGAAGUCUUUCUUUUGGACAGUCAACGUGCAGAGUUGCACUAGGAUCCCAUCCCCAUCACACCUCCUUUGCAUCAGGGGUGCUGACCAAUCGUGGCUGCUUCUCCUGUACAGUUAAUUGUGCAUAAUUACUGUAAUCCCUGCUCCCUUAUGUAAGAAUAGGAUCCCAUUUCCUUGCCCCAUUUACAUUACUGCAGGGUCUUCUGACUAGCCAAGAUUCAUUUUCUUGGACUGUUACUAUGCAUACUUAUAUUUGCUCCUAUGCUUGUAUACCAGGUAAGGACUCUCCCCAUUCUAUUUAUAUUCUAGCAGGAGCUGCCUACUACUAAAGACCUUACACCCUGCUGCAGUUAAUGUGCACAAUCUUAGUUGUCUUGUACACACUCUCAGUUGUCUACAACUGUGCCUUUUAGAUCAGGACACCUGCACUUAUUGAAGAAGAGGUUACUGACUACCUUAAAGCCCUUCUCUUGGGAACGUGGAUAUGUGUAAUUACAGUCAUCCAUGGUCCUUUGAGUUAACUUGGGUCCUUGAGUUUUCACACCCUCUUUGCUUUACUGCAUGAGAUACUGUGCACUUAAGGCCCCUUUCUCAAACUGUGAAUGUGCAUAAUGAUAUUUACAUUAGGAUCCUUCCCCUUCACACUCCCUUUGAAGUACUGCAGGAAUUCUGACCUAAGGUCCCAUUUCUUGGCCUGUUAAUAUUCACUAUUAUAUUUGUCUGGGUUCCUGUGCACUAGACAAGGGCAGCUCCUCUCCCCACUUUCCUUUUUUUCCAGCAAGGAGUGCCCUCUCCACAACACUAUUACAUUUGGACAAUCAAGGUGCACAAUUUUAAUUGACCACACCUAUGGACCUUAGAUAUUAAUAUGCAUAAUUGCACAUGGCUCAUCCCAUUUGAAUAAGAUCUUACUUUCUCAGACCCCUUUUACAGUACAGCAGAGGUACUGACCCCUAAGGCCUUUUUUCUUGGCCUGUUAACAUAUGUGUGAUUAUGUUUGUCUGGAUUCCUGUACACUAGACAAGCCUCCCCCCACCCCCCAUCCCUGUCUUCCUUUCCCUUUCAGCAGGGGGUGCCUCCUCCAUUAUACCAUAACUUUUGGACAGUCAAGGUGCACAAUUGUAAUUGACCACAACCGUGCACCUUAGACAUUAAUGUGCAUGACUGCACAUGGCUCAGCUCAUUUGAAUAAGAGCCUACGCUUUCAGACCUUUUGUUGUACAGCAGAGGUACUGAUCACUAAGGCCUCUUUUAAUGGCUUGUUAUUGUGCAUAAUUGGAUUAAUACAUGUUCCUGUACAGUAGAUAAGGACACCCCUCUCCCCAUUCCCUUUGCCUUUUAGCAGGGCCUGAGCACUACUUUAAGAUCCUUAUAUUAACAUGGUACAUGGUUUUAAUUUACCACACCGUGUCUGUUGGACGUUAAUGUACAUAAUUGCAACUUAGUUCAUCCUACUCUGUUGCCCUUCAUUUGCAGUAUACCAGGGUCAUUGACCCCUCAAUCCCCUUUCUCGAUCUGUUAAUGUGCAUAAUUGCAUUUGUCUGGGUUCUUGUGCACUAGACAAGGACAUGUCCCCCCACCUCCUAUGCCUUCCAGCAGGUGGUGCCCACUGCUAAGAUCUUUACAUUUGAAUAGUUACUGUGCAGAAUUGUAGUUUUCCACAACCCUAUCACUUCCAGGACUAUUGUACCUCGUUUGUUCUACUGCAGGGGAUACUGUUUUUCCCCAAGGCUCCUUCUAGUGGACAAUUAAUAUACAUAAUUGAAAUUGUCUAUUGUCUUCAGGAGACUAAGGUCAAACCCCUUCAGCUUCCCUUUGUAGUACAGCUGAUUGUGCUGAGUAACCAAGGCCCUCUUCUUUUGGACUGAUAAUACGUGCAAUUGCAUUUUUUCCUAUUCUUUGCACUAGAUACGGACCCCACCUACUUCCUUAGCAUUUUCAGCAGGCAGUGCCCACUACUUAAGACUCUUUCACUUGGAAAGUUCAUGUGCACAAGUGCAAUUUUCCAAGCAUGUCUUAUUCCAGACCCCCGGACCCUCUUUGCUUUAGAGCAAGGAGAUGCUAUUCACUUAAUGCCCUUUCUUUUGGACUUUAAUGUGCAUAAUUGCAAUUGUCCAUCUCUUCUGCUGGACUAAGAUUGCAUCCCUCCAUACCCCCUUUGCAGCAGGGGCAUGUUAACCAUGAAUAAGUUCUUCUCUUGAGAUUAUUAGUGUUCAUAAUUGUACUUGUCUGUGGACCUGUGCAGUAGAAAGGAUGCUCUAUGUCCCUAGCGUUGCCUUUAGAUUGCUGCUGAGGAGUGCUAACUAUCAUGACCUCAGCUCUUGGACACUUAAUAUGCGCCCAAUAACAAUUAUCAAAAGUACUGGUCAUUAGAUAUGACCCCUGAAUCCUCUUUGUAUACAUCAGGGGUACUGACUAAGGCCCAUUUCUUGGACUGUUAAUGUGAAUUUUUGCAAUUAUCUGUGCCUCCUUCCAUUAGAGUAGGAAAUCAUUCCCUUACACCCCCUUUGCAUUAAUGCAGGGGCUGCUGACCACACAAAACUUCUGGGACUGUUAAUGGGCACAAUGGCAAUUAGCAAUGGAAUUUCCCUUCCUGGCCUUGUUAGACAAGCACUCCCAGCUCCAAUUUCCUGUGGCAUAAUAGGGUAUAAACAUUGCAGUGCGCCAUGAACCAGUCCGUCAAACAGCGACCCAUACUCCCACUCCUUUUGCAUUGCUCUAGUGUAUAAAAUUCCAAAUAGUCAUGGUCUUAACUGUUAUCUUCCCUUCUCCCACCCCUUGCCUGCCCUUGGACCCUCCUUAUGGACUAUUAAUGCUCACAAUUUUAGCUGUCCAUGUAUCCAGCCAUUAAAUAAGACCUUACUCCCUCACCCUGUCCCCCCUUCACCCCUUGCCCCUUUUUACAUUGUUGCUGGGGAAUGUUACCUGGGCUAGGCCCUUUCUCUUGGACUUAAAACGUUAACAAUCCCAGAUGUCAUUGGUUUACCCACUUUGUACUGCUGUAAUGCCUCAGUUACACUUUCCUUGAUCCUGCCCAUAAGACAUGGACCCCUCUACUUCCUUCUUUGCAUUGCUUAUGAGUAGUGCUGACUACCCAAAGCCCCUUCGGUGUUAUUAAUUAACACAGUACUGAUUGUCCCAUUUUUCAGUCCAUCAGCCCAAGAUCUCCCUAUGACUUUGAUGUUGUAUGUUUGUGCAGUGUUGACUACCAAAAGCAGGCCUGAACUAGGUGGAUGGGCCUUCACUCCUUUUCCUGCAUUUGUUAAUGAUCCCAAUUCCAAUUAUUGUCACAUUCUGGGGAGAGGAACCUUCCCUGCCCACCUCUGUUACUGACUUACUGGGCAAAAGGCUCAAGGCAAGUCAGGCCCAAGGAGUUGGAUUGCCGCCCUUUAGUUUGGAUUUUCAAUAUACAUAAGUAUUACUUGAAAAUUUUCUCCCCAGGAAGGAAGGUUAGCACUCUCUGCAUUCUUCCUUCCAGAGCAGAUUGCGCAGCUAAGAAUCUCUCCUCUUGUAUAUUGCUAUUGUACAGUGCCAAUUGCCAGGAUACAACCAAAAAGUUGCUGUUAAUUUUUUAUUUUUUAAGAAAGACAUCUGGUUUACAAGGUGGAAUUGAUAACCUGGUCAUUAAAUUUUUGAAGUCUAAAAACCCAUUUAUACUAUGUACCUGAUGACCAGUGUCUCUCAUUUUAGUAAGGGUGGUGGGUGUGUGGAUGGACCACUGUGACUCUUGCUAUUUUGGUGUUACCAAAGGAGUUCUAGAGUGGAACUCUUAAGACCAGUAUCUUUGGGCUCUACCACCAUUUUAAAACCAUUCCUUGUUUGGGCUUUACCACCAUUCACUCUUAGAAAAACUACCUAAACGUUCUAGUCCUUAAAUUUCUUCAUGUGGAGCACCAACCAUCCCCUACUUAUUUCAAGAAGAUUGCCGUAAAAAGAUGAAAUGAGAGAACGUAUGCUGAGGUGCUUUUGAAAACCACAGGUCACGUUAUAAUCUAUUAUAUAAAAUGCACCUUGCUUAAUUCUGCUCAUUUAAAGUAGCCUGAAGCACCACACUGAAGUGAGGACUUAGAAAUGAUGGGACUAGUUUCCCUGUUUUAUAUUAAAAGAAAAAUAAGCCAAUAUCUAAUUAUUCUUCUGGAUACAAAUUUCAACAGUCAGAUAGCUGCCUGGUAAAAAUGAAUACUAUCCCAGCCUCUAGUGUACAGGGUGUUUGGUGGCAGACAAGUAUUUAAUAUGGAACUGCUGAAGCAAAUAACUAGUCAUCACAACAGCAGUUCUUUGUAAUCACUGAAAAAGAAUACUAUUCCUCCAUCGGCCCAGCUCAGGGUACAGUUGGCACUUCUAGCUCCUUGGACAGCUGUAAGAAGAGUCUCUGGCUCUUUAGAAUUCUGGAUGAAUUCUCAGCCGGUUCUGUACCCCCACUUGAGGAAGGAUGGACCAAUUUUAGGUGGACUGAAGCCUGCGCUAGACAGCAUCCAAAGGACAUUCAAGCAUGUGAGACCUGAGGACUGCAGGCAGCUCUAAGAAGCUCCACAUUCAUCAGAUCUUUCCUUCGGAGAAUCUGGAUAAGCUCCAACUGGUCUUAAGAGGAUGGCUUGCAGGCCACCUGGAGAAAAAGGUCUUCCUCAGAAGAAUAGGCUUGUUGCUUUAUGGUGUUAGUGACCCAUUCCCUUUGACGAUCCCUAGGUGGAGAUGGGGCAUGAGGAUCCUCCAGGGGAAAGGCUCACUACCACUGGGCAACAAGCCUAGGCCAGGAGGUUCUAUCAAGAUUCUUUCCUGGGCCCAGGUAGGAAGAUGAAGUCUCAAGACAGCUACCACACAUCAGAGGAGAACAUGGACAACAACUGCCACAUCUGUGACAUUAAUCGUGGGCAGAUCAUCAUUCUGGACCCUCUGGUCCACAAAGUCUGCCUUGAGGCCCUGUUGGAGAACUUUGCCAGUCAUUUACAUACUUCAAGAUGCCUUGGGACGUCUGCGGGAUAAAACACAAAACAAGUUGUUUAAGAAGAUAAAUAAGAAUUGUAUCUUUGUAUGCUGUGCUUGCUGAUUGACGGAAGCUUCACAGCUACAAAUGGGAACCUGACCAGAAAUGGUACAAAGUUAUCUACCGUCAGGGAGGAUCUAAAGAACCAGGACCCUGGAUACUCUAGCUCCUGAUUGUUCCCUUCGUAUCUGCCGCAUCAUCCUUCCCAAAAGCAGUGCAUAGAGUGAGAAAUUUGAAUACACCAAAAGAUCAACGUGCCUGACACUCUAGCAUUUUAACAUAGCAGAAUGAAUGUGUAUUUCUUUGCUUGUCUGUUUCUUCCUUGAACGUCUUUGGUCUUUCUUCUCUAUCUAAAGUGUGUCUUACCCAUUUCUAUAAUUCUCUUGUUAGUUUCUUCUCUGUGUAUCUUUGUCUCAUUGUUUCUUUUGUUGCUGAGUGGUCUGUGCCUUGUCUUAGAUCUCUCUCUCUCUCUUUUCAUUUUGUUACUGAUUCCCUGUGCUCUCCUAGAUCUGGCUCUUCUUUCACUGUUCUUCCCUUUGUGUCUCUGAGUCACAUGCUGUGUGCUUUUUGCUCAUUACUUGUUAUGUCUACCUCUCUUCUUUUUCUCCUUGUGAAUUCUGAUUGUUUGUCACUUUCUCCCUUUCUUGUUGGUUUGACAUUUCACUUUUUUCUGAUUCUGGCCUCCUUUCUGCUGUUUCUACUCCUUAUCUUGCAUUUCUCUUUUCUACAUAUCCUUUCUGCCUCUCUUGGGCCAUUUUCUCUCUUUUUUUCCUGCUUUGUGUGCUUCAGUAUCUCUGCUCUUUGUGAUUUUCCAUUUCAGCAUUCAUCUCUCUGUUCUUUUGUUUCUUCUCUGCUUUUUCCCUUCUACUCACCUUUGAAUAUUUCAGUCUCCUCAUGAGUCUGUGUCUCCCCUUCUUUGGUUUCAUACAAUCCUCUCGCCUUGCAUGUUUAUUGUGGCUGUGUAUGUGUGCGUGUUUGUGUGUGCUUGUGACAAAGGGGCUUCCUAACCCCUUCCCAGUAGGUGCAGAGUGUCAGCUAUCAAAAUAAGUACUGCAGCACUGUUCCUUCUGCCACGCUGCCCUGUGAGACGAUCCAAGACCAAUAGAAGGCCCAAGGGUCAAAACUGAAGGAAAGCUGAAGACCUAAGAUGGACAGAAAGGGAAGGCCCAUAAUGGGUAGAAGGCCCAACAUAGAAGACAGAUGGUUUGAGACUUGAGUCCUAAAGACUAAAAUGGAAAACCCAUGUCCCACGAUAGAUGGAAUCCUCAGGCCUGAGACCGUCAGAAGCCCUGAGAGCCAUGAUGUGCAGAAGGCGGCCCUUAUUGUAUAGAAGACCUGGCUGAGUUGGAUGGAAGGCUCAAGUCCUGAGUUAGACAGAAGGCUGAAGACCCAGAAUAUGAGCGCCUGAAGGCCUGAGACCUAAGAUACAAUGCCUAAGACCUGCGAUCAAAAGGCCUUAGCUUGACCACCUAAGACCCAAAGAUAGAAGGCCCCAGACAGACUAAAGACCCAAGACGCAAGCCUCUCCAGAGGGACAGAAGGCCCCAGAGAGACAUAUAUAUCUCAAGACUAAAUCAAGCAGGAAGCUGGAGGCCCAUGAUCUAAAACCCAGGAAGAAUAGAAGCCCCAAGACCAGAGGAAUUUCAAUGAUGAGAACCUGAGGCUCACCUCUUUUCUAUUGCUAUUCUUCCUAUUCUUGGACAUUUUCAGUUCUCUCUUUCCAGUUCUCAUAUCUCCAUUUAAGCCCACUUCUUUUGAGAUAUCAUUUUUGAUGUUCCUGUUGCCUUAAGGAAACAUAUCUUUAGAUCGGCAGUAUUAUGCCCGGGCCAAUCUUAAGCCAAUUUUUAGUCACAGUUUUGAGCCAUUUAUUAAUUUUUUGGUAUUUUUUUAAACUUCCAUUUCUCUUCAUCUCCACUCCACUUGAAAGAGACAUAUAGAUGACACUGUAUUUCAGUCUUCCCUUUUCCUCAGAAGCUCUAGGCUGACGAGAAGAGGAAAAUAUCAGGCUGUUGGGGGAAAAAACAGUGCCAGGCUAUCUAGAGAAAAUGUGAAGAGAUGCUCCAGGCUAAUGAGAAGAAUUAGACAAGAAAUACACAGAUGUCCCAGCCUGCUAAGAAGCACCAACCAGCAACACCUUACUUCUUUGAGCUUGGUUUCUGGCAUCCUAAGACUACCACUACUGAUAAAACAAGAAUAAGAGAACAUGCUAUCAUCAUCUGAUUUUUGUGGCAUAAAUGAAGUUGUGAACCAAUCUGCUUUUAAAGGAAAUGACUUCGUCUCUACCCUUCGACCUCAAAGGGAACCUAUGCCAAAAUGCUCUGAUAAAUGGAAGACACACUGACUUAUGAACUGAUGUGAAAUUCAGAAUCUCUGGGCCUUGACGUUUUGUAACGAUUGAAAAAUCUUGCUCAAGAUGAGUGAACACCCAAAAGCAACUGAGACAAAUUGGGGGGUGUGUUGUCUAAUGUCAAAUAAAAUGUACUGUUUUGAAAACUUUG
Molecule: long non-coding RNA, 15696 nt
Organism: Equus caballus (horse)
Lineage: Eukaryota; Metazoa; Chordata; Mammalia; Perissodactyla; Equidae
Gene: XIST
Source: RefSeq, a predicted model, not a curated record